UUCGAAGAAAAUUUUUUGAAGAAAAAAAUUGGAGAAUUCAAAAGUGAGAAUGUUGACAUGAGUAACAAAAAAUAAUGUAAAAAUCAUUAUCGCCGAAAAUCUAAGGAAUCCGACAAAAACAAAUUAUUUUUGUCGUUGCUUCUUUAUAUAAAUAUAUAAAGAUUUAUAUGAGUCUAAAAGUCGGUCCCUAAGAGACAAAAGAGUGAAAACCUUUCUUGAUGGGAAAAUACUUUGUUAAAA
Molecule: ribosomal RNA, 240 nt
Filed under: Fibrocapsa japonica
Lineage: Eukaryota; Raphidophyceae; Chattonellales; Chattonellaceae
Description: partial Bacterial large subunit ribosomal RNA
Source: RNAcentral